GACGAACGCUGGCGGCGUGCUUAACACAUGCAAGUCGAACGGAAAGGCCCUGCUUUUGUGGGGUGCUCGAGUGGCGAACGGGUGAGUAACACGUGAGUAACCUGCCCUUGACUUUGGGAUAACUUCAGGAAACUGGGGCUAAUACCGGAUAGGAGCUCCCGCUGCAUGGUGGGGGUUGGAAAGUUUCGGCGGUUGGGGAUGGACUCGCGGCUUAUCAGCUUGUUGGUGGGGUAGUGGCUUACCAAGGCUUUGACGGGUAGCCGGCCUGAGAGGGUGACCGGCCACAUUAGGACUGAGAUACGGCCCGGCCUCCUACGGGAGGCAGCAGUGGGGAAUAUUGCACAAUGGGCGGAAGCCUGAUGCAGCAACGCCGCGUGCGGGAUGACGGCCUUCGGGUUGUAAACCGCUUUCGCCUGUGACGAAGCGUGAGUGACGGUAAUGGGUGAAGAAGCACCGGCUAACUACGUG
Molecule: ribosomal RNA, 468 nt
Filed under: uncultured bacterium
Lineage: Bacteria
Description: partial 16S ribosomal RNA
Rfam family: Bacterial small subunit ribosomal RNA
Source: RNAcentral